AAACCAGCACCUCAAGUGGUCAGGAUGAUUAUUGGGCCUAAAGCAUCCGUAGCCUGCUCUGUAAGGUUUCGGUUAAAUCUGUACGCUCAACGUACAGGCCGCCGGGAAUACUGCACACCUAGGGAGUGGGAGAGGUAGACGGUACUCGGUAGGAAGGGGUAAAAUCCUUUGAUCUAUUGAUGACCACCUGUGGCGAAGGCGGUCUACCAGAACACGUUCGACGGUGAGGGAUGAAAGCUGGGGGAGCAAACCGGAUUAGAAACCCGGGUAGUCC
This 274-nucleotide ribosomal RNA is filed under the name uncultured bacterium. Its description in RNAcentral is "partial 16S ribosomal RNA". It matches the Rfam family "Archaeal small subunit ribosomal RNA", at positions 473 to 747 of the family's 1478-position model. The record is from RNAcentral.